GAAAAAGUCAACUAAAAUAAUCAAAAAGUUGCUUAUUCGAUGAUUACAUCCUUCAACACCGUAGCAUUUACUCUAUUUAUAUAAAAUUUCCUAUCUUAGGCUUAUUCUUCAUUCUUCACGUUUCUUAUAGUUUGUUUUAUUCCUACAAAACUUUACUCAUCUAACCUCUUAUUUUCAGUAUUUAGCAUUCUUGAAUCUUCAUUUUUCUUUAUGGGUUUGCCCAAUAAAUCGAAUAUGUUUCUCUCCAAACGAGAUUUUCAGGCAACGAACUGUAAUUUUUUCCAAGAACUCGAGCCUGUGAAAAGUGGUGCUUCAAGAGAAGAAAACCAAGUGAAAAGUGCAGUCUUUGGAAAAGAAAAAGAAGUGAAAAGUGCUUUUUCUUUGAAGAUUAAAGCAUUAUCAUGUCCAGGAGAAGUAAUCAAGGUUGAGGAAGAAGGAGAUGGAUACUGUAAAACUCCGACAGCUUUAACGGAGCAUAAUAAGAUCCGAUUAAAAUGCCCACCAGCUCCAAGAAAACCCAAGUCACAUCCAUCUACAAAGAGAUCAAGAAAAGAUCAAAUUUUACUUGAUCUAUCCAAUGAAAUUGAAUCACUUUUUCCUCCAGCUCUUCUCAAAGAUCUGCUUAGUGGUAAGAUCAAGAAAGUUAGGAAAGAGAGUGGGAUAAUGUGAUUUCUCUUUAGUUUGUAAUUUUUUUGGUGUGAUGAAUUAUUUAAUGCAAAGUUCCACCAUGUUUAUUUGUUAAUCUAUUAUGUAAAAUUCAUGCAUAACUUCGAAUCAAUGUCAGAUUCUCUAACAAAGACACAUUCAUAGGCUAGUAGCCGGAUAAGACGGAU
This 833-nucleotide long non-coding RNA is filed under the name Olea europaea subsp. europaea. Lineage: Eukaryota; Viridiplantae; Streptophyta; Magnoliopsida; Lamiales; Oleaceae. The record is from RNAcentral.